AUAUUCUGAUUUCUCUUCAGAUCAUAUAAAUGCUUCACUUUUUACUAAAGAUUUCCAUGCACACGAACAAAGAGUUUUUAACUAAUUUUUUGAGGCCCAGUUUACGAAUGAGGGUC
This 116-nucleotide small nuclear RNA is filed under the name Phascolarctos cinereus (koala). RNAcentral's name for it is "U5 spliceosomal RNA (ENSPCIG00000013986.2)". It matches the Rfam family "U5 spliceosomal RNA". From Rfam's summary of the family: U5 RNA is a component of both types of known spliceosome. The precise function of this molecule is unknown, though it is known that the 5' loop is required for splice site selection and p220 binding, and that both the 3' stem-loop and the Sm site are important for Sm protein binding and cap methylation. The record is from RNAcentral. Lineage: Eukaryota; Metazoa; Chordata; Mammalia; Diprotodontia; Phascolarctidae.